This 74-nucleotide transfer RNA is filed under the name Sus scrofa (pig). It matches the Rfam family "tRNA". Rfam says of the family: Transfer RNA (tRNA) molecules are approximately 80 nucleotides in length. Their secondary structure includes four short double-helical elements and three loops (D, anti-codon, and T loops). The record is from Rfam by way of RNAcentral. Lineage: Eukaryota; Metazoa; Chordata; Mammalia; Artiodactyla; Suidae.
UCCUUGGUAGCUCAGUGGGUUAAGUGUCUGGCAUUGUCACUGCUAUGGCACGGGUUCAAUCCCUGGCCUGGGAA